This 296-nucleotide long non-coding RNA is filed under the name Nicotiana tabacum (common tobacco). RNAcentral describes it as "long non-coding RNA (NTAB_LNC005685)". Lineage: Eukaryota; Viridiplantae; Streptophyta; Magnoliopsida; Solanales; Solanaceae. The record is from RNAcentral.
CAUUAGGGUUUUAAAACCCUAAACUGAACUUUUUCCUUUAGUCAGCAUUAGGGUUUUAAACCCUAAAUUGAACUUUUUCCAUGUAGUCAGGUUUAGGGUUUAACCAUGUAGUCAGCAUUAGGGUUUUAAACCCUAAACUGAACUUUUCCUUUAGUCAACAUUAGGGUUUUAAACCCUAAACUGAACUCUUUUCCAUUCAGUCAGCAAUAGGGUUUUAAACCCUAAACUGAACUUUCCCUUUAGUCAGCAUUAGGGUUUUAAACCCUAAACUGAACUUUUCCUUUAGUCAGCAUUAG